This 468-nucleotide ribosomal RNA is filed under the name uncultured bacterium. RNAcentral's name for it is "partial 16S ribosomal RNA". It matches the Rfam family "Bacterial small subunit ribosomal RNA", at positions 28 to 507 of the family's 1533-position model. The record is from RNAcentral.
GACGAACGCUGGCGGCGUGCUUAACACAUGCAAGUCGAACGGAAAGGCGCUGCUUUUGUGGGGUGCUCGAGUGGCGAACGGGUGAGUAACACGUGAGUAACCUGCCCUUGACUUUGGGAUAACUUCAGGAAACUGGGGCUAAUACCGGAUAGGAGCUCCUGCUGCAUGGUGGGGGUUGGAAAGUUUCGGCGGUUGGGGCUGGACGCGCGGCUUAUCAGCUUGUUGGUGGGGUAGUGGCUUACCAAGGCUUUGACGGGUAGCCGGCCUGAGAGGGUGACCGGCCCCAUUGGGACUGAGAUACGGCGCAGACUCGUACGGGAGGCAGCAGUGGGGAAUAUUGCACAGCGGGCGGAAGCCUGAUGCAGCAGCGCCGUGUGCGUGAUGAAGGUCUUCGGGUUGUAAACCGCUUUCGCCUGUGACGAAGCGUGAGUGACGGUAAUGGGUAAAGAAGCACCGGCUAACUACGUG